AUUGAACGCUGGCGGCAUGCUUUACACAUGCAAGUCGAACGGCAGCGCGGGCUUCGGCCUGGCGGCGAGUGGCGAACGGGUGAGUAAUGCAUCGGAACGUGCCCAGUAGUGGGGGAUAGCCCGGCGAAAGCCGGAUUAAUACCGCAUACGACCUGAGGGUGAAAGCGGGUGACCGAAAGGCCUCGCGCUAUUGUAGCGGCCGAUGUCGGAUUGGCUAGUUUGUGGGGGAAAGGGUUACCAAGGGGACGAUCCGUAGCUGGUCUGAGAGGACGACCAGCCACCAGGGGAGUGAGCCGCCGACAAGAGGACUAAGGGAGGGCGCAGACGGGAAUUGUGGGCAACGGGGGGAAACAUGGUACAGUCAUGGCGAGCGCGGGAAGGCGGCCCUCCGGUUGUAAACAGGGUUUGUUCGGGAAGAAAUCCUUUGGGCUAAGACCCCGGGGGGAUGACGGUACCGGAAGAAUAAGCACCGGCUAACUACGUG
This 484-nucleotide ribosomal RNA is filed under the name uncultured bacterium. RNAcentral describes it as "partial 16S ribosomal RNA". It matches the Rfam family "Bacterial small subunit ribosomal RNA", at positions 29 to 507 of the family's 1533-position model. The record is from RNAcentral.